Molecule: ribosomal RNA, 717 nt
Filed under: uncultured Gammaproteobacteria bacterium
Lineage: Bacteria; Pseudomonadati; Pseudomonadota; Gammaproteobacteria
Description: bacterial SSU rRNA
Rfam family: Bacterial small subunit ribosomal RNA
Source: RNAcentral
AGAGUUUGAUCCUGGCUCAGAUGAACGCUGGCGGUAGGCCUAACACAUGCAAGUCGAACGGUAACGGACCGCUGGGAUCCCUUCGGGGUGACCUUGGUGCCGACGAGUGGCGGACGGGUGAGUAACACGUAGGAAUCUGCCCAACAGAGGGGGACAACCCGGAGAAAUCCGGGCUAAUACCGCAUACGCCCUACGGGGGAAAGCGGGGGAUCUUCGGACCUCGCGCUGUUGGAGGAGCCUGCGUCGGAUUAGUUUGUUGGUGAGGUAACGGCUCACCAAGGCGACGAUCCGUAGCUGGUCUGAGAGGAUGAUCAGCCACACUGGGACUGAGACACGGCCCAGACUCCUACGGGAGGCAGCAGUGGGGAAUAUUGCACAAUGGGCGAAAGCCUGAUGCAGCCAUACCGCGUGUAUGAAGAAGGCCCUCGGGUUGUAAAGCACUUUCGUCAGGGAAGAAAGGUGCGGGGUUAAUAUCCCCGUACUGUGACGGUACCUGAAUAAGAAGCACCGGCUAACUCCGUGCCAGCAGCCGCGGUAAUACGGAGGGUGCGAGCGUUAAUCGGAAUUACUGGGCGUAAAGCGCGCGUAGGCGGUCUGGUCAGUCAGAUGUGAAAGCCCCGGGCUCAACCUGGGAACUGCAUUUGAUACUGCCAGGCUAGAGUGUAGUAGAGGGAAGCGGAAUUUCCGAGUGUAGCGGUGAAAUACGUAGAUAUUCGG